This 490-nucleotide ribosomal RNA is filed under the name Alcaligenes sp. TERIPS9004. RNAcentral describes it as "bacterial SSU rRNA". It matches the Rfam family "Bacterial small subunit ribosomal RNA", at positions 338 to 861 of the family's 1533-position model. Lineage: Bacteria; Pseudomonadati; Pseudomonadota; Betaproteobacteria; Burkholderiales; Alcaligenaceae. The record is from RNAcentral.
CCUACGGGAGGCAGCAGUGGGGAAUAUUGCACAAUGGGCGCAGCCUGAUGCAGCACGCCGGUGAGGGAUGACGGCCUUCGGGUUGUAAACCUCUUUUAGCAGGGAAGAAGGAAAGUGACGGUACCUGCAGAAAAAGCGCCGGCUAACUACGUGCAGCAGCGCGGUAAUCGUGGGCGCAAGGCGUUAUCCGGAUUAUUGGGCGUAAAGAGCUCGUAGGCGGUUUGUCGCGUCUGCUGUGAAAUCCCGAGGCUCGACCUCGGGCCUGCAGUGGGUACGGGCAGACUAGAGUGCGGUAGGAGACUGGAAUUCCUGGCGUAGCGUGGAGCGCAGAUAUCAGGAGGACACCGAUGGCGAAGGCAGAUCUCUGGGCCGUAACUGACGCUGAGGAGCGAAAGGUGGGGAACAGGCUUAGAUACCCUGGUAGUCCACCCCGUAAACGUUGGGAACUAGUUGUGGGGUCCAUUCCACGGAUUGACGCAGCUAACGCAUU